Molecule: long non-coding RNA, 1376 nt
Organism: Diorhabda sublineata
Lineage: Eukaryota; Metazoa; Arthropoda; Insecta; Coleoptera; Chrysomelidae
Exons: 2
Source: RefSeq, a predicted model, not a curated record
AAGAAAAUCAGUAUUUUUUAAAAAUUAUUUUACGCAACGAAAUUUCGAAAUAAAAACAGAUUAUAGUAGUGGGAAAAUUCUAUAUAUAAUAAAAAGUGUUACAAUUGGUAAUUGUUUCAUCAUAAAAUUUGUUUAUUAUUAAAAGUUCCAAUUUUUUACAAAAACAAUAUUUUCCUCAACGGGAGUAGACUUGGUGAAACCAGGGAAAUCGACAAAAGACUGACGAGAGGGAAAAAAUCGUUUGGAGCCCUUGGAGGACUAUUAAGAUAUUUCUAAAGCUACAUUUACAUUUAUGAAACUAACUAUACUAUAUGAUAGUGAGUGUUGGAUCAUGAACAAAAAAAGAAGAAAACAUAUGGGAAAGAAAAGGUAUUAAAGAGGAUUUUCGUAGGAAUGCAAGAGCAAAACGAGUGGAGAAAAAGAACGAACGCUGAGAUCAAAGUACUGUAUGGUCAAGAUGAGAUGGGAUAUGGGGUCAGAGCAAAGACUCCUUUGGAUGGAGCAUAUAGCCAAAAUGGAUGAAGACAGUUGGGUCAGAAGAUCCUUGUGAAGUGAAGUGAAGAAAGAGCAAAAAGGAAAAGAGGGCGUCCACGAAAAAAUGGAUAGAAGCAUGUAGAUAUUUAGAAAGAAGAGGAAUAGAGAACUGGCGUGAAGCAGGCAUGAGCAAAAAUAGGAGGAAAGCAGUAGAGCGACUCCAAGACUUGUGCCUAUAAGGUCUGUGUUGAGCUUCAAAUAACUUAUUUGGAAUCUACUGCUUUAAAUUUCAAUGUAAAUUACUAUAGUCUGGUUAUUAACGUCUUUAGGCCGCUUCCUAUUAUGCAAGACAACAUGCAAGAAAUUGCAUGCAAUGGAGUCUGAAGGACAGAAAACAGCAUCUAAGCAAUGGUGAGCCAGGCUCUGGCUAGAUAGAACCCAGAGAAAGAAACAUGGGUUUAUCUAUGAAAGUAAGACGACAAAAUAUUCAAACAUUGGAAAAGCUCCUUAGGAAAAUAGAACAUAAAUUAAUUGAGAAAUCCUUAGCGAGAGACGUAAUAUCAGCGAAUCAUAAACUCAAUUCUUUGUAGAAUUGCAACUUGAACGAAAUAAAACUGACACCAAACCAAUAAUGUUACAAAUGCGAAAUUUUGCAUGAAACAAACAGUUAAAUUUCAUCUGCGCAUGCUUUUCAUUAAAAAAUAUUGCUUCUUGCAUUGCAUUGCACGUUGUAUUCUAUCUUGUCAAGCAAACUAAAGUGGAAUGAACCUUUAAAAAUUUGAACCAACUAUUUUUCGAAUAUAUCUACAACAUAAGUAUUAAAAAAUACUCACAGAUACUUUUUUACCCUGUCUCACUGGUGCUAAAUCGAAACAUAACAUUUUUUUUAUAUUAACCAAAAA